UACGUAGGGCGCAAGCGUUGUCCGGAUUUAUUGGGUUUAAAGGGUGCGUAGGCGGCUUUUUAAGUCAGAGGUGAAAGACUGCCGCUCAACGGUAGCAGUGCCUUUGAUACUGAAGAGCUGGAGUGCAGCUGAGGUAGGCGGAAUACAGGGAGUAGCGGUGAAAUGCAUAGAUACCCUGUAGAACACCGAUUGCGAAGGCAGCUUACUAAACUGUAACUGACGCUGAGGCACGAAAGCGUGGGGAUCAAACAGG
This 253-nucleotide ribosomal RNA is filed under the name uncultured bacterium. Its description in RNAcentral is "partial 16S ribosomal RNA". It matches the Rfam family "Bacterial small subunit ribosomal RNA", at positions 524 to 776 of the family's 1533-position model. The record is from RNAcentral.